ACCAGCAGUUAGUAGUAUGUGAGAGUGCUGCCAGUUAUGGCUCAGGUGAUGUUUGUUUUGAAACUGUUCUUGUUGUCCCUGCUAGAUGUUGGAGGACAUCCAGUAAAUGCCUUCAGUCAAGAACCUGACAAUGGAGAAAGGGUUCUUAGCCAUUCUUGGCCAUUUGUCUUCAAACUCCCUUUUUCUGGUGAUCUCUCAACAGUAGGGGGUCAGUUAUCCCCUCCGCAUCACGGCUUCCCGGCCAAGGUGCCGCAGCACAAGCCCCAGGUGCCCUCUCAGCAUCACAGCUUCCUG
Molecule: long non-coding RNA, 294 nt
Organism: Melanotaenia boesemani (Boeseman's rainbowfish)
Lineage: Eukaryota; Metazoa; Chordata; Actinopteri; Atheriniformes; Melanotaeniidae
Exons: 3
Source: RefSeq, a predicted model, not a curated record